RNAcentral lists this ribosomal RNA (400 nucleotides) under uncultured bacterium. RNAcentral describes it as "bacterial SSU rRNA". It matches the Rfam family "Bacterial small subunit ribosomal RNA", at positions 355 to 772 of the family's 1533-position model. The record is from RNAcentral.
UGGGGAAUAUUGCGCAAUGGGCGAAAGCCUGACGCAGCAACGCCGCGUGAGUGAAGAAGGUCUUCGGAUUGUAAAGCUCUGUCUUCAGGGACGAUAAUGACGGUACCUGAGGAGGAAGCCACGGCUAACUACGUGCCAGCAGCCGCGGUAAUACGUAGGUGGCAAGCGUUGUCCGGAUUUACUGGGCGUAAAGGGUGCGUAGGCGGAUGAUUAAGUCAGAUGUGAAAUACCAGGGCUCAACCCUGGGGCUGCAUUUGAUACUGGUUAUCUAGAGUGCAGGAGAGGAGAGCGGUAUUCCUAGUGUAGCGGUGAAAUGCGUAGAGAUUAGGAAGAACACCAGUGGCGAAGGCGGCUCUCUGGACUGUAACUGACGCUGAGGCACGAAAGCGUGGGGAGCAAA